Ursus thibetanus thibetanus is the source of this 92-nucleotide microRNA precursor. Ensembl annotates it as microRNA 21. NCBI's taxonomy places the organism in Eukaryota, Metazoa, Chordata, Mammalia, Carnivora, Ursidae. The record is from Ensembl.
UGUACCACCUUGUCGGGUAGCUUAUCAGACUGAUGUUGACUGUUGAAUCUCAUGGCAACAGCAGUCGAUGGGCUGUCUGACAUUUUGGUAUC